ACAUGGUGGUGUGCCUUGCACCCAAGUCCAGGCAUACUAUUUGGCCCACAAAGGAAAGGCGACAUCCGAUGUCACCUUCAACCCGCAGGAUCCGCCCGAAGUGUACAGCAACGCAAGCGUCCACAGCCGCCUCAGUGGGUACACCUCGAUGGCACAAGAAGUUCAUGGGCCGGAGUUUGAUGCGAUCAAUGAGCCCAUUGAUGGAGAAGUCAUCAUGAGGGCGGGAGGAGGCAAGAAGCAUGGACGGUACUGGUUUGGCGACAGCUUAGUCGACACGGCGACUACUCCCACUCUCUCGCAGAUUCAAGCCAGGAGUACCAGCUCAAGCCCUGCCAUACGCCCACGGCCAGACACUACACAGACUCAGAUUGAGGCUGUCAAGGCCCAGAUGGAAGCAGCCUUCCAAGCACGGCAGGAGGCGGCAGGGGAGAGGUGGAGGGCCGAGCGGGGCGACAUCCAGCAAAAAUUGGACCAAGCUCUAACAUUUAUGCAAAGCCUGGGCUCGGCGAUGGGUGUUUCGCCUCCACAAUUCCCUCCGGCCCCACUUGUUCGUCGUGUAGAAACUCCUCCUACCGUAAGUCAUUUUGACUCCUAUCGAGUUUCGGAAUGUCUUAGUGACUUAGCAUUAACCUAGAUUUAUUUAAAAAUAAUAUCUUAUGAUACAUCUACAAUGACUUAGAACUUGGGCUAAUGCUUGUAGUUUCAUUCUUGUGUAACUCAAUAUAUAUUCGCUUAUGUGCAGAAUCAAUCGGCGGCAUCCAAUGAUGGGCCAGUGAAUCCUGACUUCUCACCUCCGGUGCAGCAGACUCAGCAGCCUCAGCAGUUUGUGUGGCCACCGCCUCAAUGGGUGGCUUGGAUUCAGCAGCAGCAGCAGCCAGGUUGGUCGCAGACGCCUACAUGGCCGCCCCCGCAGAUGUGGCCGCAGCACCCGCCACCGCCGUCGGGCCCGUGAGUUAUGUUGUAUGGACUUGCUUUGUACCACUUUUCUGGAUUUGUUUGAACUUGAUUUGUAUGAACUUGUAUGAACUCGACCAGUACUUGUGGUUGUCGAUGAACGAAACAAGACUUUAUUUGUAUGUGUGUAUCAAAUGCCUGUGAUGCUUAUUCGGAUACAUGGAAUAAUCAUUAUGAUAUA
Molecule: long non-coding RNA, 1135 nt
Organism: Panicum virgatum (switchgrass)
Lineage: Eukaryota; Viridiplantae; Streptophyta; Magnoliopsida; Poales; Poaceae
Exons: 2
Source: RefSeq, a predicted model, not a curated record